RNAcentral lists this long non-coding RNA (1013 nucleotides) under Androctonus crassicauda. Lineage: Eukaryota; Metazoa; Arthropoda; Arachnida; Scorpiones; Buthidae. The record is from RNAcentral.
CUUUUCUGGAUAAAUAUCGAAAGAAUUUAUUUUUAUUUUUUUGAAUUAUCGAUAACAUUUUAUCGUUGUAAACAAUAGAAAUAAUAUUAGAUGUAAAGCUGAAACAGCUCUGAAAAGAAAGAAAAGUUUGUAAGUUUGAAAACAUCAGAAACAAAAUGUUAAGUUUUGAAGUAGGCAGUGUUGUGUGGUGUAUCUAAAUCGACCAAUCUCCAAUGACUAAAAGUUGUUCCUUCGUCAUGUGACGUCUCCCCACUGGCAUAAAGCCCAAAGACUGCUUUUCCUAGCGGGGGAGUUACUUGGGUUUGUAAUCAAUCGGUUUGUUAGGUGAAGUGAAGCGUAAGUCGUUCUUUGCUUUUUUAGCCGGGAUGGCGCCAUGAUAGGAUUAUCCACUACGUUACGUUCAUCUAGCAAAGACGUGAUGAACCAGCAUUCGCCCCGUCAGAACAGCCCUAUGGGGUCGCCUAGAUCUCCUCGUAUAGCACUGGCUAAGCUGCAAGGUAAAAUGUAUUUACCCAAACUACAACUGAGGAGACGUCACACCGCUAACAUACCCGAAACGAACGAUGGUGAGUAUUUUCUCUGUUUAUAAAAACAUUAACCCAACCGGAUAUAUGCUGAUGUUGUUCCAAUUAUAAACUCGUGUGUAAUUAGAAGUUCGCCGCUUAUGUGUGCCAAUGUCAAGAUGUACGGGAAUUAUAACUCAUAGUUUUCAGUAUAUAUAGCAUUUAUACUUUUGACGAAGUUUUUAAACCUGCUGUUGAUGAAAAGAUGCAAAAAUCGAGAUGAAUAGUAUAGUUAAAAACGUUAUCGUGGAUUUAAUUUUAUUUAUUUUUGCUAGAUUAUGAUCCGCAUUCAUAAUAUAGGAAGUUAUUAUAGGCUUUGCUAUCUUUGUUACUUUAUCGGAGCAAUUAAAGAAAAAAAAAAAAUCGAAUUUUAGAUGCAUACAUUUACGUAAUUUAUAAAUUAAUAAUAAUAAAAAUGUUUUUAAUUAAAAUUUUUUAAUAUAUAAUAAA